This 1457-nucleotide ribosomal RNA is filed under the name metagenome. RNAcentral's name for it is "bacterial SSU rRNA". It matches the Rfam family "Archaeal small subunit ribosomal RNA". The record is from RNAcentral.
GAUUGAUCCCGUCGGACCCCACUGCUAUCGAGAUGGGACUAAGGUAUGCUAGUCGAACGACCAGAACUAUGUCUGGAAGUGGCACACUGCUCAGUAACACGUAGCUAACCUACCCUUAGGACGUGGAUACCCCCGAGAAAUCGGGGUUAAUCCGCGAUAGAUGUAAUGUCCUGGAAUGGUAUUACGUCUAAAGGUAUUUCAUACAUGUUUGAAAUAUGCCUAAGGAUGGGGCUGCGGCCGAUCAGGCUGUUGGUGAGGUAAUGGCUCACCAAACCUUUGGCCGUACGGGCCAUGAGAGUGGUAGCCCGGAGAUGGACACUGAGACAAGGGUCCAGGCCCUAAGGGGCGCAGCAACCGCGAAACCUCCACAAUGCACUCACGUGCGAUGGGGCUAUCUCGAGUGCCACCUGAUGAAGGUGGCUUUUCCUUGGUCUUCAAAGCCUUGGGAAUAAGAGGGGGGCAAGACUGGUGUCAGCCGCCGCGGUAACACCAGCCCCUCGAGUGGUGGGGAUGAUUAUUUGGCCUAAAGCGUCCGUAGCCGGCCGAGCAAGUCUUCCGUUAAAUCCAGCGUCUCAAGCGUUGGACCGCGGGAGAUACUACACGGCUAGAGAGUGGGAGAGGUCAGCGGUAUUCUGGGGGUAGGGGCGAAAUCCUUUGAUCCCCGGAGGACCACCAGUGGCGAAGGCUGCUGACUAGAACACGUCUGACGGUCAGGGACGAAAGCUGGGGUAGCGAACCGGAUUAGAUACCCGGGUAGUCCCAGCCGUAAACGAUGCAUGCUAGGUGUUGGGUUGGCCACGAGCCACCCCAGUGCCGCAGGGAAGCCGUUAAGCAUGCCGCCUGGGAAGUACGAUCGCAAGAUUGAAACUUAAAGGAAUUGGCGGGGGAGCACCACCAGGCGUGAAGCCUGCGGUUUAAUUGGAGUCAACGCCGGGAACCUUACCGGGAGCGACAGCAGAAUGAAGGCCAGAUUGAAGAUUGCCAGACGAGCUGAGAGGAGGUGCAUGGCCGUCGCCAGUUCGUGCCGUGAGGUGUUCUCUUAAGUGAGAUAACGAACGAGACCCGUGCCACAUGUUGCCACCAGUAUCUAAAGGAUAGCUGAGCACUCUUGUGGGACCGCAGCCGAUAAGGCUGAGGAAGGUACGGGCAACGGCAGGUCAGUAUGCCCCGAAUCUCCCGGGCCACACGCGGGCUGCAAUGGUACAGACAGAGGGCUGCCACCCCGAAAGGGGGAGCCAAUCCCUAAACUGUACCUCAGUUGGGAUCGAGGGUUGCAACCCACCCUCGUGAACAUGGAAUGCCUAGUAACCGCCAGUCAUCAUCUGGCGGUGAAUACGUCCCUGCUCCUUGCACACACUGCCCGUCGAACCACCCGAAUGAGGUUUGGGUGAGGAAUGGUCGAAUGUUGGCCGUUUCGAACCUGGGCCUCGUAAGGAGGGUUAAGUCGUAACAAGGUG